GUCCUAGCCUGAAUAACUGUGAACCUCGAAGAUUGAUCACAAUGUCGGCACCGGAUUGAGACUCCUGUCCAAAUCGGAGCUCCGGAGCUCCAGAACCCGAACGGAACCGAGCAAAAACCGGUUCCGACUUCGAAAACGAAGUAGACGAAGAAGAUGAAACCUCCGAAAUCGAUAAAACCACAAAUUCGUUUUCCUUCACAGAAACCUCCAUUAACGCUGUUUUUUGCUUCAAUUUCUGAAACGAAAGCUUCGAAUAUGACCUCUUCUCAGUGAAAUCAAUCAAUCUAUGAUCUGUUCUUCAUGAAGAAAUGAAUUAGGGUUUUCAGUAGAGAGUGUGUAGAAGGUUUUGA
Molecule: unclassified non-coding RNA, 350 nt
Filed under: Hevea brasiliensis (rubber tree)
Lineage: Eukaryota; Viridiplantae; Streptophyta; Magnoliopsida; Malpighiales; Euphorbiaceae
Source: RNAcentral